Molecule: ribosomal RNA, 790 nt
Filed under: uncultured Pseudoalteromonadaceae bacterium
Lineage: Bacteria; Pseudomonadati; Pseudomonadota; Gammaproteobacteria; Alteromonadales; Pseudoalteromonadaceae
Description: bacterial SSU rRNA
Rfam family: Bacterial small subunit ribosomal RNA
Source: RNAcentral
UGCAGUCGAGCGGUAGCAUUUCUAGCUUGCUAGAAGAUGACGAGCGGCGGACGGGUGAGUAAUGCUUGGGAAUAUGCCUUAGGGUGGGGGACAACAGUUGGAAACGACUGCUAAUACCGCAUAACGUCUACGGACCAAAGGGGGCUUCGGCUCUCGCCCUUAGAUUAGCCCAAGUGGGAUUAGCUAGUUGGUGAGGUAAUGGCUCACCAAGGCGACGAUCCCUAGCUGGUUUGAGAGGAUGAUCAGCCACACUGGAACUGAGACACGGUCCAGACUCCUACGGGAGGCAGCAGUGGGGAAUAUUGCACAAUGGGCGCAAGCCUGAUGCAGCCAUGCCGCGUGUGUGAAGAAGGCCUUAGGGUUGUAAAGCACUUUCAGUAAGGAGGAAAGGUUAGUAGUUAAUACCUGCUAGCUGUGACGUUACUUACAGAAGAAGCACCGGCUAACUCCGUGCCAGCAGCCGCGGUAAUACGGAGGGUGCGAGCGUUAAUCGGAAUUACUGGGCGUAAAGCGUACGCAGGCGGUUUGUUAAGCGAGAUGUGAAAGCCCCGGGCUCAACCUGGGAACUGCAUUUCGAACUGGCAAACUAGAGUAUGAGAGAGGGUGGUGGAAUUUCAGGCGUAGCGGUGAAAUGCGUAGAGAUCUGAAGGAAUACCGAUGGCGAAGGCAGCCACCUGGGUCAAUACUGACGCUCAUGUACGAAAGCGUGGGGAGCAAACGGGAUCAGAUACCCCGGUAGUCCACGCCGUAAACGAUGUCUACUAGGAGCUGGGGUCUUCGGACAACUUUU